This 528-nucleotide ribosomal RNA is filed under the name Fictibacillus phosphorivorans. RNAcentral's name for it is "bacterial SSU rRNA". It matches the Rfam family "Bacterial small subunit ribosomal RNA", at positions 55 to 566 of the family's 1533-position model. Lineage: Bacteria; Bacillati; Bacillota; Bacilli; Caryophanales; Fictibacillaceae. The record is from RNAcentral.
AUGCAAGUCGAGCGAAUGAUGAGGAGCUUGCUCCUCUGAUUUAGCGGCGGACGGGUGAGUAACACGUGGGUAAUCUGCCUGUAAGACGGGGAUAACUCCGGGAAACCGGGGCUAAUACCGGAUAAUAAGAGAAGAAGCAUUUCUUCUUUUUGAAAGUCGGUUUCGGCUGACACUUACAGAUGAGCCCGCGGCGCAUUAGCUAGUUGGUGAGGUAACGGCUCACCAAGGCGACGAUGCGUAGCCGACCUGAGAGGGUGAUCGGCCACACUGGGACUGAGACACGGCCCAGACUCCUACGGGAGGCAGCAGUAGGGAAUCUUCGGCAAUGGGCGAAAGCCUGACCGAGCAACGCCGCGUGAGCGAUGAAGGCCUUCGGGUCGUAAAGCUCUGUUGUUAGAGAAGAACAAGUACGAGAGUAACUGCUCGUACCUUGACGGUACCUAACCAGAAAGCCACGGCUAACUACGUGCCAGCAGCCGCGGUAAUACGUAGGUGGCAAGCGUUAUCCGGAAUUAUUGGGCGUAAAGC